AACACUUCAUACAUGCAUAGAUAUUGACUGACAACUAAUAUAAUAAUUGUAUGUAAUUCAAUUGAAAAAAUUGACAUAAAAAGUAUGUCUUCUUAUAAAAAUGUAAAUAUAACUAAGAUUAUAAGAACAACAUAAAAAAGAUAAAUGAUACAGUCAUGUAAUCAAAAAUACAAACAAGAGGAAAAAUCAAGUUGUUUGAUCUCUUCACUUAAAAGGUUUUGUGCACAGUUUGACUGUAGCAGUCUGUUAAAGUCAGUGUUUAAGACAUUUUUUAUUUUUCAUAACUUUCACUCCAACCAUCUUUUGUAUGAUGGAAAUCUUAAUGCCCCUUAAAUUAUAGAGUAUUUCCCCUUAAAAUAGAAAACUCUUACCCAAAAUAAAAGAAAUCCACACUUUUUACAUGGAUUUUUUCAACUUAUCCUAGCCACAAUAUGAUGAAGUAUUCAUGUAUUGUAGAUCCCUAUAUGUCACCCAAUAUUUAGGGUGUUAGUAUCUCUGGUCCUCUCAUAUCUUGAAGGCAGAAAAUCAAAAAUGUAGAGAUGUCAAUAUUUACAUCAAAUAAAUUAAUACAUGUAAUAUUUAUGCAUCUUUCAGAAAACUGUAUCAAAUUGGGCAAAUAAAUUGUGUUAAUGAUUAAAUAUGAAAAUAAUAUUCAGUUUUGUUUUUUAAUUGAAAUAUUUGAGCAUAUUAUGUGCUUAACGUUAUGUCUGGUUGACCCCAAUGACCCUUUUUAAUUGCAAAAGGUAGACAUAUUCUUUAGUUAAUGCAAUUAUACUUAAAAUUUAAAAAAAAAAAACAAGAUCAGGGUAGGAAAUGCCAAAAGCAAUAACCAACAAGAAACUUGUUUAGGAUGUAACGAACAAAAAAUAAAAUAAAACAAAUAUGAAGUCAGAGGAUUCUCAAGGGGCAAUAAACACUGCAAAAAAAAUAAAAAAAAUACACAAUACUACAUGGUAAAAACAGACUAGAUAUGUUUGGUCAUAAUGACUACAUGAAUUGCCCUGUCUACAAAAUGACAGAAGUAAUUUUACACAAAAGUCAAGAACACAAUAUAAGUCAUUACAAUGGUAAUAAAAAAUGUAUAUCGAACAAAAAUAUUGAGUCACUAAGCGAAAACCAUUGGAUGAACUAUGGUACACAGUUGAGGUACACAAUUAGACAGACAAUGCAAAACAACAGAACCAAAAACGAAGGCGCAGAAAGCGUUUUUUAUAUUUUGGCUCAUGUAAUUUUCAUAAAAUUUUGAUAAAAUAUUUACUUUUACUCUUUUAUAAAAAAAUAAAGAUUUCACUAAAAA
Molecule: long non-coding RNA, 1297 nt
Filed under: Mytilus galloprovincialis (Mediterranean mussel)
Lineage: Eukaryota; Metazoa; Mollusca; Bivalvia; Mytilida; Mytilidae
Source: RNAcentral